UUACAAUGAUGUUGACUUUAAUUUCUUCAACUGAACUUAAACCUUGAGGUUAAUCCUGUGACUUUUCUGAGUAAU
Molecule: small nucleolar RNA, 75 nt
Organism: Patella vulgata (common limpet)
Lineage: Eukaryota; Metazoa; Mollusca; Gastropoda; Patellidae
Source: RefSeq, a predicted model, not a curated record